Molecule: long non-coding RNA, 226 nt
Organism: Corapipo altera (White-ruffed manakin)
Lineage: Eukaryota; Metazoa; Chordata; Aves; Passeriformes; Pipridae
Exons: 2
Source: RefSeq, a predicted model, not a curated record
AAGAGCGCGGUUACCCGGAGACUCUCCGGCACCUCCCCGGCACGGACGGGCUCUCCGCGAGAGGCCGGAGGAUGUAGGAGCGGGCGCGGCCCUGAGAAGCGUGGUGUGAAUUUAAACGCAUGGAAGUGCCGAGCUGCUAGAGCCAAGGAUUUUAGUGCGAACAGAAAGCAGAAAUAAUUUUCAGAAUGUGCUCGAAUAGACAAAUAAAAGCCAAAGCAUGAGUAAA